AGUGAACGCUGGCGGUAGGCCUAACACAUGCAAGUCGAACGCCAGCACAUUAAGCGCUUGCUCUUACGGGUGGCGAGUGACGGACGGGUGAGGAGUACAUCGGCAUCUACUUUUUCGUGGGCGAUAACGUAGGGAGACUUAUGCUACUACCUCAUACGACCUACGGCUGGAAGCAGGUGAUCAUCGUACAUUUCCCGAUCGAAUGAGCCGACGUCGGAUUAGCUAGUUGGCGGGGUAAAGACCCACCAAGCCGACGAUCCGUAGCUGGUCUGCGAGGAUGGCCAGCCAAACUGGAACUGAGACACGGUCAAGACUCCUACGGGAGGCGCAAGUGGGGAAUAUUGGACAAGGGGCGCAAGCCUGAUCCAGACAGACCGCGUGGGUGAGGAAGGCCUUCGGGUGGUAAAGCCCUUUUGUUGGGAAAGAAGAGCGGCAGGGUAAAACCCCGCUGUUCUGACGGUACCCAAAGAGUAAGCACCGGCUAACUUCGUG
This 492-nucleotide ribosomal RNA is filed under the name uncultured bacterium. RNAcentral's name for it is "partial 16S ribosomal RNA". It matches the Rfam family "Bacterial small subunit ribosomal RNA", at positions 29 to 507 of the family's 1533-position model. The record is from RNAcentral.